UGGGGAAUAUUGGACAAUGGGCGCAAGCCUGAUCCAGCAAUGCCGCGUGUGUGAAGAAGGCCUUCGGGUUGUAAAGCACUUUUAUCAGGAGCGAAACGCUGUCGGCUAAUACCCGGCGGAACUGACGGUACCUGAGGAAUAAGCACCGGCUAACUUCGUGCCAGCAGCCGCGGUAAUACGAAGGGUGCAAGCGUUAAUCGGAAUUACUGGGCGUAAAGCGUGCGUAGGCGGUUUCUUAAGUCUGCUGUGAAAUCCCCGGGCUCAACCUGGGAAUGGCAGUGGAUACUGGGAGGCUAGAGUGUGUCAGAGGGUGGUGGAAUUCCCGGUGUAGCGGUGAAAUGCGUAGAGAUCGGGAGGAACAUCAGUGGCGAAGGCGGCCACCUGGGACAACACUGACGCUGAGGCACGAAAGCGUGGGGAGCAAACAGGAUUAGAUACCCUGGUAGUCCACGCCCUAAAACGAUGCGAACUGGAUGUUGGUCUCAACUCGGAGAUCAGUGUCGAAGCUAACGCGUUAAGUUCGCCGCCUGGGGAGUACGGUCGCAAGACUGAAACUCAAAUGAAUUGACGGGGUCAUAGCUGUUUCCU
This 588-nucleotide ribosomal RNA is filed under the name uncultured bacterium. RNAcentral's name for it is "partial 16S ribosomal RNA". It matches the Rfam family "Bacterial small subunit ribosomal RNA", at positions 355 to 1375 of the family's 1533-position model. The record is from RNAcentral.